CUGCAGCCCGAGUGGUGAUCGAUUUUAUUGAGCCUAAAGCGUCCGUAGCCGGUCUAGUAAACCCUUGGGUAAAUUGGGCAGCUUAACUGUCCAAAUUCCGAGGGGACUGCUAGACUUGGGACCGGGAGAGGUCAGAGGUACUCCAGGGGUAGGGGCUAAAUCCUGUAAUCCUUGGGGGACCACCAGUGGCGAAGGCGUCUGACUAGAACGGAUUCGACGGUAAGGGACGAAACCCUGGGGCGCAAACCGGAUUAGAUACCCGAGUAGUCC
This 270-nucleotide ribosomal RNA is filed under the name uncultured archaeon. RNAcentral describes it as "partial 16S ribosomal RNA". It matches the Rfam family "Archaeal small subunit ribosomal RNA", at positions 477 to 747 of the family's 1478-position model. The record is from RNAcentral.